CGAAUAGGGGCAACCCUUAGUAGAGCGGCGCACGGGUGCGUAACACGUGGAUAAUCUGCCUGAGUGCUCGGGAUAACCAGUCGAAAGAUUGGCUAAUACCGGAUAAGCCCACGGUUUCUUCGGAGACUGAGGGAAAAGGUGGCCUCUGUAUACAAGCUAUCACAUUCAGAUGAGUCCGCGGCCCAUCAGCUAGUUGGCGGGGUAAUGGCCCACCAAGGCAACGACGGGUAGCUGGUCUGAGAGGACGAUCAGCCACACUGGAACUGAGACACGGUCCAGACUCCUACGGGAGGCAGCAGUGGGGAAUUUUGCGCAAUGGGCGAAAGCCUGACGCAGCAACGCCGCGUGUGUGAUGAAGGUCUUUGGAUUGUAAAGCACUUUCGACCGGGAAGAAAACCCGUUGGCUAACAUCCAACGGCUUGACGGUACCGGGAGAAGAAGCACCGGCUAACUCUGUGCCAGCAGCCGCGGUAAUACAGAGGGUGCAAGCGUUGUUCGGAAUUAUUGGGCGUAAAGCGCGUGUAGGCGGCGUGACAAGUCGGGUGUGAAAGCCCUCAGCUCAACUGAGGAAGUGCGCCCGAAACUGUUGUGCUUGAGUGCCGGAGAGGGUGGCGGAAUUCCCCAAGUAGAGGUGAAAUUCGUAGAUAUGGGGAGGAACACCGGUGGCGAAGGCGGCCACCUGGACGGUAACUGACGCUGAGACGCGAAAGCGUGGGGA
This 718-nucleotide ribosomal RNA is filed under the name Myxococcus sp. 42-jj-2. RNAcentral's name for it is "bacterial SSU rRNA". It matches the Rfam family "Bacterial small subunit ribosomal RNA", at positions 67 to 767 of the family's 1533-position model. RNAcentral also lists the same sequence under 5 other names. The record is from RNAcentral. Lineage: Bacteria; Pseudomonadati; Myxococcota; Myxococcia; Myxococcales; Myxococcaceae.